This 293-nucleotide unclassified non-coding RNA is filed under the name fungal sp. Its description in RNAcentral is "partial internal transcribed spacer region". The stretch from base 1 to 46 matches the Rfam family "Eukaryotic small subunit ribosomal RNA", at positions 1786 to 1831 of the family's 1831-position model. Lineage: Eukaryota; Fungi. The record is from RNAcentral.
AAGUCGUAACAAGGUUUCCGUAGGUGAACCUGCGGAAGGAUCAUUAAUGAAAUGAUUUUUUUUUUGGGGUUUUCCCUGAAAAAUAAUUCACCACUUGUGCAUUGUUAUUAGAUAUACUUUGGUUAGAGCUUUGAUUUCAUUUAUUGGAAUCAACUUCUUGCUGACUCUAUCCUUUCUGAGGACAGUUGGCUAUGAAGCGGCCAACCAAGGUUUUUUAUCAAACACAUUUAAUUUAUCUGACCUAAACUAUUAUAAUAAAAUCAUAACUUUCAACAACGGAUCUCUUGGCUCUC